ACAAACCAAAAAAAUCUCUUAUAUUGAGUAAAGACCAUAUAGACGAAUUUUUGAGAAAAGCUGACACCAAGGAACAUUUAUUUAAUAAGGUUGUUCUCAUAUUUGGAGUAGCCGGUGCAUGUAGACGUCAAGAGCUAGUGACAUUAACGACAACAUGUGUUCAAGACUGCAAAACCCAUUUUUUAAUUAAGCUGGAAGACACCAAAACCAAAGUGGAUCGAUGUUUUAUAAUAACAGCAGGUAAACUCGAAAAUGUUAAUCUACUUGAACUUGUCAGAAGAUAUAUGGAAAUUCGACCCACCAAGACACCGCACAACAGAUUUUUUAUCAACUACACCAAGGAAAAAUGUACCAUUCAACCAGUUGGAAUCCACAAAAUUGGGGGUCACUGCUUCAGACGUAGCUCAGCUUCUCUUCUGGCAAAUGCAGGGGCCACUAUGGAAAGGACAAAAAGACACGGAGGUUGGCGUUCAACUACAGUGGCAGAAGGUUAUAUCGAAGAAUGUGAAAAUACUAAAAUUAAGGUUGCAAACUUGAUCUUGGGUGAAGAACCAUUGGCCUGCAAUAGCAUCUCUUCGGAAAAUCACGAAAAAUUUACAAGUUUGCGUGGAACCGAGAGUGAAGCAAAAAACAACGAAGUUGUAGGAAUGAAUAUUUGUGGCAACAAUAAUAGUGUUAUAAAUGUAAAUCAUUAUUACAACAAGCAAUAGUAUGUUUAUAUGGUUACAAUGUUACAAAGUUGAUA
This is a long non-coding RNA of Tribolium castaneum (red flour beetle), 745 nucleotides long. RefSeq lists it as uncharacterized. NCBI's taxonomy places the organism in Eukaryota, Metazoa, Arthropoda, Insecta, Coleoptera, Tenebrionidae. The record is from RefSeq and is a predicted model, not a curated record. The transcript has 3 exons.